GAUGCCUUGUAGCCUGGGGUCUCCCUUGAGUCCAUUCUCUGCGGCAAACAUUUCCCUUUUUUUCCCUGACUUGAAUCAAAGGCCUUAACCUUCUGUCUUCUGAAAAGAAAACAGAGCAAAGCAAAGCAAGAAGCUUUCUUGGGUUUGCUUGGCAAGCUUCUGUAUGUCUCAGUUCGCUGAAAUGGGAUUUGGAAAAUUUUGUAAUUUCCGAACUAAGCAGGCACUGCUGAAGAAAUCUCUCAGUUCUCUAUGCAAUCUAAAGAGAGGAUGAGCGCAUUAAAUAACACAAUUUUGUUUUGUCUAUUUAUGUUUGGCAAAUCCAAUGCACUGUUCCUUUGAACCUUUGUUUCCAGCCACGCGAUUUAAAACCACGUGCAAUUGCAUCUUCUUUGCCUAAUUGCUUAGGCGUGAAAAAUCAGAUCGUUGUCGGAUGAAAAUCGGAGCAUUAGCGGACAAAAAAUGUCAACGAGGGACAGCACGCGCAACAUAUUGUGAGUGGAAGAGGGAGACAGAUCCUGCAGAGCAAGAUCUAGGUUGUCG
This 540-nucleotide unclassified non-coding RNA is filed under the name Hevea brasiliensis (rubber tree). Lineage: Eukaryota; Viridiplantae; Streptophyta; Magnoliopsida; Malpighiales; Euphorbiaceae. The record is from RNAcentral.